GACGAACGCUGGCGGCGUGCUUAACACAUGCAAGUCGAACGGUAAGGCCCUUCGGGGUACACGAGUGGCGAACGGGUGAGUAACACGUGGGUGAUCUGCCCUGCACUUCGGGAUAAGCCUGGGAAACUGGGUCUACUACCGGAUAGGACCACUGCCUACAUGGGUGGUGGUGGAAAGCUUUUGCGGUGUGGGAUGGGCCCGCGGCCUAUCAGCUUGUUGGUGGGGUGAUGGCCUACCAAGGCGACGACGGGUAGCCGGCCUGGGAGGGUGACCGGCCACACUGGGACUGAGAUACGGCCCAGACUCCUACGGGAGGCAGCAGUGGGGAAUAUUGCACAAUGGGCGCAAGCCUGAUGCAGCGACGCCGCGUGAGGGAUGACGGCCUUCGGGUUGUAAACCUCUUUCAGCACCGACGAAGCGCAAGUGACGGUAGGUGCAGAAGAAGGACCGGCCAACUACGUGCCAGCCGCCGCAGUAA
This 478-nucleotide ribosomal RNA is filed under the name uncultured bacterium. Its description in RNAcentral is "partial 16S ribosomal RNA". It matches the Rfam family "Bacterial small subunit ribosomal RNA", at positions 28 to 523 of the family's 1533-position model. The record is from RNAcentral.